UACGUAGGGCGCGAGCGUUGUCCGGAAUUAUUGGGCGUAAAGAGCUUGUAGGCGGUUUGUCGCGUCUGCUGUGAAAGCCCGGGGCUUAACCCCGGGUUUGCAGUGGGUACGGGCAGACUAGAGUGCAGUAGGGGAGACUGGAAUUCCUGGUGUAGCGGUGAAAUGCGCAGAUAUCAGGAGGAACACCAAUGGCGAAGGCAGGUCUCUGGGCUGUAACUGACGCUGAGAAGCGAAAGCAUGGGGAGCAAACAGG
This 253-nucleotide ribosomal RNA is filed under the name uncultured Micrococcaceae bacterium. RNAcentral describes it as "partial 16S ribosomal RNA". It matches the Rfam family "Bacterial small subunit ribosomal RNA", at positions 524 to 776 of the family's 1533-position model. Lineage: Bacteria; Bacillati; Actinomycetota; Actinomycetes; Micrococcales; Micrococcaceae. The record is from RNAcentral.